AUGUCUUGGAUCAUACCAUGAUGACCUGAGUGUUUUAUCAGUCCCUUCUGUUGACUACAGCAAGAAAGCAGGUGUGGGAGAAAAAGUUGCCAUUCUGGAUCAGUUUUUUUGUCCUGGCAGUUAUGGAACAAAAAUCAAGAUGGCUACAGAGUUCAAUGAUUGAUUUGAAC
Molecule: non-coding RNA, 170 nt
Organism: Pocillopora verrucosa
Lineage: Eukaryota; Metazoa; Cnidaria; Anthozoa; Scleractinia; Pocilloporidae
Source: RefSeq, a predicted model, not a curated record